Long non-coding RNA from Rosa rugosa (rugosa rose), 2626 nucleotides. RefSeq lists it as uncharacterized. Lineage: Eukaryota; Viridiplantae; Streptophyta; Magnoliopsida; Rosales; Rosaceae. The record is from RefSeq and is a predicted model, not a curated record. The transcript is spliced from 5 exons.
UAAAGGACAUAAAGGUUCCAUUGAAAACAAAACCUCUCUCCUCUCAGACAGCCAACGCUUACAGCUCGCCAUCUCUCUCACGAAAUCUCCCUAUUGAUCUUUACCCACAUGGCCGAAAACACCAGUUGAUGUCGAAGCAAAAGCCUAUCCUCCAGCAAUUGCAGUGGUUUUUUAGCAGCUCAGGUCUAAGUUUUCGGUUGGGAGAUCGUAACUCUGCGGUGGACGCUGGGCGGCUGGGCAGUCAUGAGUCACUCUCCGCCUCUCGUUCGUUGCUCUCUCUGCACCACGCAACUGCGCCACACCUCUCUCUCUCCCUCCCUCCCUCCUUGAUGGGAUCUCCCUCAGUCUCUCACUAGCAAUUGUUACUAAAGUCUUUAGCAGAUACAUUCCUAGUUUCAUUCUUCUGUUAUUUCUGAAAAUGGUAUCCUUUGUUAUGUAAUUCUUUUUAUCCAUUCAAGAAUAUAUAUCUCACAAUGAAAUAAAAGGAGUGCAUCUUCAAAAGUACUUUGGUUCACAAUGGUUGUCUUUUUUUGCUAUUGUAUUUACUGGAUCAUUUUUCUAAAACUUCCAUAUUUUUUUAUCGAUACAGAAUAUUCCUGCAAAGCUUGAUUUACUUUGACAUUUGUCUACUUUUCUUGAAAUUGCAAAGUACAGAAUCGUCUCUGGUGUGGCUGGACUUUUGAUUGUCCUUAAAAAUCUAAGGUAAGUAAACCUUUUGUUCAAGUGACUGCUGUUUAGCACUGCUUAUUAAUUUCUGGUGAUUUUGUCCCUUUGUAUACCCUCCUGGUAAGUUCAUAAUUUUGGAGAACUGUCAGACUUAAUGGGGCUCUGGUGCAUCUUGUAAUGUCACCUUAAUUUUAUUGGAUUGCAGCAUUGGUUUCUCAUAAAUGCUUACUACUUUAAGCUUUUAUUGAAUUUCCUUGUAGAUCUGACAUUUGUAUCAGUCUUAAAUGUGACUGUGUAUAUUCUUGCUGGGAAAUUAAUUUUAUGAACUUAUCAAUCAAAUGUAGUUCCUUUAGAAUUUUAUAUUCUUUACACCAAAUAGAGAAUAUUUUUCUAACUAGCUCAUUCCAGCUUUUGAGGCUUGUCACUGUACUAGGGAUGAGGUCAAUAUGAUUGUCAAAGUCAAAGGCUAAACUGCUCCAUGGGAAGCUCUUGGAAAGGAAAUACAAUCAUGAGGAUAUCAUCUUGUCCUUGAUUCGCCAUCAAUCUAUUUGAACUUUUUAAUUGCAGGAAUUGGGUUUUGAUGGAUGAAAGUUUAAGUUUUUGUUUUGAAUUCUGUGAUUGUGAGUUGAAUAUCUGGUUUGCUGUUUGAGUUUCUGUUUCUUGGGAUUUCUUUUGGCAUUCAGAUGGUUUGAUUACCUUUCUGCCUUCAUGCCUCUAAUUCUUUAUUUUUUUUUUCUUUAUUAAAUUUUCAAAUCCUACUUUAAGUAACAUUUUCAUGAUAUUCUUUCAUUUGUAGGGAGUAAGCAUCUUCUAGAGAUGAAUAGGAUUUUAAGGCCCGGGGGAUACUUUAUCUUGUCAACUAAACAUGACAGCUUUGAAGCUGAAGAAGGUAAACAAAUAUCUAGAAAACUAUGAAAUGGCCCUUACUGGAUUUGAAGCUGCUGCUUUCAAGGAUCCUGGUCUCAAUGCUACCGAAGAGGUUCAAAAGAUUGUUAACCUUCUUGACAAGCUAGAUAAUUUGUUAAGGGUAAUGCAUUUUUCAUUUGUAAAUGUGGUAUCUUGAGGUCUUGAGUAUGUGUUUCCAAAGUGGUUUCUAGGAUCAAGGGGCCUUGGGCUAUCAUCUAUUGGCAGGUAACUUUUGAGUGGUAAGUUUCGAUUUAAUGUGAUUGGAAUGUGUUGCACUAUCUGUUUUGCUUUGGAUACUAGUUUGAAUUAUGCCAAAUACGGCUUUGCACUCUUUCUAAUGUUAUUUGUCUUUCUAUGGCAGUUGCUUUAAUUCCUUUAUCUAUUUUCACCAACAUUUUCGUUCCACUUUUCGUUUUUCUUUUUCAAUUUUCAUUAGUUUUGCUUUAGAUCCAAUAUUAUAUGCUAUCUAUGUCCUAAGUUAUGGAUUUGUGAUCUCCCUUUCAUUUUCAUAUUGUCCAGUCUGGUAUGGUGAACCAGUAAGCAUUUUUACCUUUGGGUGAGAUUUUGGUUUCUCUUUAAUAUGAUUUUUAACUCUGACAGAUUCAAUUUGUUAAUGGACGUGUACCACAAUCUAUAUCAGAAAUACGAGGGUAUUUGGAGAAUAAUUUGUUACAAAUAAUUGAAAUCUGAGUUGCAAUUCAGCUCUUAAUACUUUCUGUUGUUUUAUUGUCUAAGGUUGGUGUGCGAGGACAUAACUGGGGGUCUAGAGGAUAUUGCCAUUCCAGCUAGCAAUUUGGUCGAUGAUCCGCCUGUUGCUUUGCCAGUUGAUGUUGUAAAUAUGGUUAUCUUAGCAAGCAUAAAGGAGUUAAGGCUUAAAGCUGCUGGUGCAUUGUUUUCACUUAUUUGUGAGGUUUAGGACGUUAAUGCGCAUCACAUUUAUGGACAAGUAUAAGUUUAUGGUUAGGGUUAAUGUUGGGAUGGAAUAACUUUGUUGAAUAUAUGGAUGAAUGUAUCGGAUCUUUACAUAAAUGAAUUUGUUUUGAAUGUGUUGUCA